This 639-nucleotide ribosomal RNA is filed under the name uncultured Pseudomonadota bacterium. RNAcentral's name for it is "bacterial SSU rRNA". It matches the Rfam family "Bacterial small subunit ribosomal RNA", at positions 73 to 709 of the family's 1533-position model. The record is from RNAcentral. Lineage: Bacteria; Pseudomonadati; Pseudomonadota.
AGCUUGCUUCUUUGCUGACGAGUGGCGGACGGGUGAGUAAUGUCUGGGAAACUGCCUGAUGGAGGGGGAUAACUACUGGAAACGGUAGCUAAUACCGCAUAACGUCGCAAGACCAAAGAGGGGGACCUUCGGGCCUCUUGCCAUCGGAUGUGCCCAGAUGGGAUUAGCUAGUAGGUGGGGUAACGGCUCACCUAGGCGACGAUCCCUAGCUGGUCUGAGAGGAUGACCAGCCACACUGGAACUGAGACACGGUCCAGACUCCUACGGGAGGCAGCAGUGGGGAAUAUUGCACAAUGGGCGCAAGCCUGAUGCAGCCAUGCCGCGUGUAUGAAGAAGGCCUUCGGGUUGUAAAGUACUUUCAGCGGGGAGGAAGGGAGUAAAGUUAAUACCUUUGCUCAUUGACGUUACCCGCAGAAGAAGCACCGGCUAACUCCGUGCCAGCAGCCGCGGUAAUACGGAGGGUGCAAGCGUUAAUCGGAAUUACUGGGCGUAAAGCGCACGCAGGCGGUUUGUUAAGUCAGAUGUGAAAUCCCCGGGCUCAACCUGGGAACUGCAUCUGAUACUGGCAAGCUUGAGUCUCGUAGAGGGGGGUAGAAUUCCAGGUGUAGCGGUGAAAUGCGUAGAGAUCUGGAGGAAUAC